GAGUUUGAUCUUGGCUCAGAUUGAACGCUGGCGGCAUGCCUUACACAUGCAAGUCGAACGGCAGCACGGGAGCUUGCUCCUGGUGGCGAGUGGCGAACGGGUGAGUAAUGCAUCGGAACGUAUCCUGGAGUGGGGGAUAACGUAGCGAAAGUUACGCUAAUACCGCAUAUUCUGUGAGCAGGAAAGCGGGGGACCUUCGGGCCUCGCGCUCUUGGAGCGGCCGAUGUCGGAUUAGCUAGUUGGUGAGGUAAAGGCUCACCAAGGCGACGAUCCGUAGCAGGUCUGAGAGGAUGAUCUGCCACACUGGAACUGAGACACGGUCCAGACUCCUACGGAGGCAGCAGUGGGGAAUUUUGGACAAUGGGGGCAACCCUGAUCCAGCCAUGCCGCGUGAGUGAAG
RNAcentral lists this ribosomal RNA (400 nucleotides) under bacterium enrichment culture clone ALO1_GLFRUDD03G3UPH. RNAcentral describes it as "bacterial SSU rRNA". It matches the Rfam family "Bacterial small subunit ribosomal RNA", at positions 9 to 410 of the family's 1533-position model. The record is from RNAcentral.